UACAAAGGUCUCAAGCGUUGUUCGGAUUCAUUGGGCGUAAAGGGUGCGUAGGCGGCGCGGAAAGUCGGGUGUGAAAUUUCGGAGCUUAACUCCGAAACUGCAUUCGAUACUGCCGUGCUUGAGGACUGGAGAGGAGACUGGAAUUUACGGUGUAGCGGUGAAAUGCGUAGAUAUCGUAAGGAAGACCAGUGGCGAAGGCGGGUCUCUGGACAGUUCCUGACGCUGAGGCACGAAGGUCAGGGGAGCAAACGGG
This 253-nucleotide ribosomal RNA is filed under the name uncultured bacterium. RNAcentral describes it as "partial 16S ribosomal RNA". It matches the Rfam family "Bacterial small subunit ribosomal RNA", at positions 524 to 776 of the family's 1533-position model. The record is from RNAcentral.